CAGAGGGAGCAGUGCCCAGCUGACACAUUGACCUUGGACUUCUAGCCUCCAAACUGGGAGACAAUAAAUUUCUGUUGCUUAAGCCACUCAGUUUGUGUGCUUUGUUUUGGCAGUCCUAGCAAACUAAUACAUCCCCCAAUCCAGAACUGUCCUCCUUUGGAUAAUGAAAACAGCAAUAAUUAUAGUAUUAUUACCCUGAGUGACUGGUCCCACCAUUGGGCAUUCUUUUUAGAUGUGAGUUAUUGCCCUAUUGAGAUCAGAAGUCCUCUCACUUAGAGGCAUAUCUAAGACUUUUUUUCUUGUGGAGGGAGCUCACUCAACUGUAGGUAAGUUUUGACUGAUCUGGGUUAGUAGUAAGAACAAACUUCCAAGUGGCACUAUCUUCAAGGUGCAAGCCCAUUUGGGCGAUGACCAGGUCUGGUAUAUUAAGAGGCCCUUCGUAGCACAUUAGAAUCACCUGGAGAGAUUUUAGAAUUUACAAAGCCUAGCCAAACCCCAGACCCAUUAAACCUGACUCUCUGAGAACAGGACCCUGGCACCUGUGUUUUAAGGAUUCUAGGUGAUUUCAGUGUGUAGCCAAGGUUCACUGCCAUAGCCUGUCCUGGAAUCCAGGUAACUAAAACUUCAGCAGAUUACAAAAAUCAAAAGUUACUUUCUUGGAUGCAUAUAUUCUUAUAGCCUCAAAACUGAAGCUGCAAACUGAACAAUGCUGCAGUCAGAUACACACACAUAUUCCAACUGCAUAACUUCCUUUAAUAAUACUUUUAUUUUUCCGAAUUUUUAGACUGUCCCUAAGUCCAGUUUCUUUUAAAAGUUAGUAAUAAUCCCACCAACUCACAUUUACAUAGAAGUUACAGUUUAAAGUUUGCAUGUCAUAAUAACUUGGUGAGAUAGGGCAAGCAUUAUUUCUAUUUUGCAUGUGAGAAAAAAACUAAGCCUCAGAUAAGUUAUGUGACUUCCCUGAGUCAUGUUAGAGUAACUGACUCCUGAUUUUUAAACUGGAGGUCCCAAAUCCUGGGAACUCUCUCAGCUCUGGGCAAGCCAGGACAGGUGGUCACCCUGCACCUACACAAGGACUGAGCUGAGUCCUAGUUACCUGCUGUGAAGAACUGUAGAGGUUAUCUACACCAGCUCCUCCUUUUACUGGAAAAGGAAAAGACUUAGGUAAGUCUCCAAAACCCCUGCUGGAGCACCUUCUACUUCUAGAAAGAUGUUGAGGGGCUUCCAGGUCACAAAGGAAAGAGAAGUAACUAUGUCUCCUUCCCCAACCAUGUAUGUGAUACAUUCAUUCUCUGGGACUGGAAAUUCCCAGACAGCUGUGUCAGCAAUGAGAUUUGUUUCAUUGUUUUGCCUUGUUUUGUCAUUGAGUUGUUAUAGUUUAAGUUUAUUAUUUUUUAAUACAGAAAAAAAGUGACUUUUGGGGGAGUGCAGAGUUCUAUGAAUUUGUAACACAUGUCUAGUUAUUUUACCACCACUAUAAUCAAGAUACAGAACAGUUUUAUCAUUUCAAGUGCUCUCCUGCUGUGCUUUUAUAACACACCCUUCCCCACCCCAACUCCUGGCAAUUACUGCUCUAUUCUCCGUAACUGUAGUUUUGCCUUUUCGAAAAUAUCAUAUAAAUAAUCAUGUAUUACGUAACCUGAGACGGGCUUCUUUCACCCAGCAUAAUGCCUUUGACAUUCAUCCAGAUUGUUGUGUGUAUCAGUAGUUUGUUUUUAUUACUGGGUUUUAUUUCAUUGCAUGGAUAUACCACAAUUUGUUUAGCCAUUCACCCACUGAAAGUCAUUUGGGUUGUUUCUAGGCUUUGGUGACUAUGAAAAAAGCUGCUAUCAACAUCCACAUAUUGGUUUUUCUGUGAACAUAACUGUUCAUUUCUCUAGAUGAAAUACCCACAAGUAGGAUUUCCAGAUUUUGUGAUAUAUUUGUUUUCUAUUGCUGCCCUUAAAAAUUACACAAACUUAGUGACUUAAGCGUUACAAAUUUAUUAUCUUACAGUUUUGUAGGUCAGAAAGGUCUUACUGGCCUAAAUUCAAAUUAUCAGCAGGAUUGUAUUUCUUUCUGGAGGCCCUCAGAGAGAAUCCAUUUAGGUUCAGUUCCUUGAGGUCAUGGAACUUGCCUUUUGACCCCCUUUCUCCACCUGCACAGCCAGCAAUGGACAGUCAAGUCCAGUCCCUUCAAUACAUCUCUUUCUAACCCUUCUCUCAUCCUCUCUGACCUUUCUUCCAUUAUCAUAUCUCUCUCUCUGACCCAACCAUGAAAGGUUGUCUGCUUCUAAGGAUUCUUGCUUAGAUUGGGUCCACCCUGAUAAAAUUCAGGAUAAUUUCACGAGUUCAAAGUUCAUACUCUUAAUCACAUCUGCAAAAUCCCCUUUGCUUUUAAAGGUAACAUCUUCAUGUGAUCUGGAAAUUAGGGUAUGAGCAUUUGUAGGGGAGAGUGUUAUUCUGCCUGCUUAUCUUUUCAAGAAACUUCCAAGCUGUUUUCUAGAAUGGCUGUGCAUUUAAUAUUCCCAUCAGCUGUGUAUGAGAGUUCUAGUUGCUCCAUGCCCUUGUCAGCACUUGGUACUGUCAGUAUUUUUUAUUUUAACCAUUCUCAUGGGUAUGUAGUGGUAUUUCAUCAUGGUUUAAAUUUGCAUUCUUCUCAUGGCUAAAGAUGUUGAACAACAUUUCAUCUGUUUAUUUUUCAUCUAUUUAUCCUCUUUGGUGAAAUUUCUGUUCAGAUAUUUUGCCCAUUUUUUAAACUGGGUUGUCUUCUUGCUGCUGGGUUUUAAGAGUUCUUUAUACUGGAUACAAGUCCUUUGUCAGAUAUGUGAUUUUCAAAUAUUUUCUUGUCUAAAUCCAACUUUUCCAUAUUUCACCUAUAUACCAGUUGCACACAUACAAUUUUCCUGCACCUCAGGUUGUGUUUAGGUUGGCCUAGACCACAGAGUGAUCUGAUUUGGGUUUCUAAGCCAGGGUUUUCAGAUCUGAGAAUGUCUCUGCCUUCUCCAAGUUAUAGUAAAUCCCAGAUAUCUACCUAUCACAAAUCUCUCCACUCCUAUAUUCCUCUUAGAGAAUGCAACUUUUAAUCUAUUAAAACAUUUCAUUUAUAAGAUCAAAGAAUUUUAAAGGGAAACACUGAUCCUUAAAAACAUGGCAUCUGCAACUCCUUUCACACUAAUGUCCCUACAUUCCAACAAACAUUUUUUGAGUGCGGAUGUGGCCUUCAUAAGAGAACCAUUGGCCGGGCGCGGUGGCUCAAGCCUGUAAUCCCAGCACUUUGGGAGGCCGAGACGGGCGGAUCACGAGGUCAGGAGAUCGAGACCAUCCUGGCUAACACGGUGAAACCCCGUCUCUACUAAAAAAUACAAAAAAAAAAAAAA
Molecule: long non-coding RNA, 3358 nt
Organism: Macaca fascicularis (crab-eating macaque)
Lineage: Eukaryota; Metazoa; Chordata; Mammalia; Primates; Cercopithecidae
Source: Ensembl